GCUGACACAGCCCAGCCAAUCUCCAGCAGACCCUCCCUCCCAGACCCUCCCACCUCCUGGACAGCAUCCAUGUUGAAGCUGCCUUCAACAUGGAUGCUGUCCAGGAGGUGGGAGGGUCUGGGAGGGAGGGUCUGCUGGAGAUUGGCUGGGCUGUGUCAG
Non-coding RNA from Pelobates cultripes (western spadefoot toad), 159 nucleotides. The record is from the annotation of a GenBank genome assembly. Lineage: Eukaryota; Metazoa; Chordata; Amphibia; Anura; Pelobatidae.